CUUCUCUUCAUUUGUCCUGAUCUCUGCUUUGUCCAGUUUGGUGACGAUGUCGUUCUUCCCACCAUAGAGCUGAAACACACAGUCGUACCUCCUCCAGUCUUCAGGUGGGACUGAUGAAUGAAGUUUCAGGUCAACACUCAUCUGGAAGGAUCCAUCGUGGUUGAGGAGGAUCUCUCCGUGGUCCACGUCCUCAUGAAUCUCCUCUCCAUCUUUCCUCCAGAUGAGUGUGGCACUGUCAGGGUAGAAACCUGUAGCGUGGCAGCUGACUGGAGA
Dicentrarchus labrax (European seabass) is the source of this 273-nucleotide long non-coding RNA. RefSeq lists it as uncharacterized. The transcript has 3 exons. Lineage: Eukaryota; Metazoa; Chordata; Actinopteri; Moronidae. The record is from RefSeq and is a predicted model, not a curated record.